RNAcentral lists this ribosomal RNA (508 nucleotides) under Bacillus sp. BS10. RNAcentral's name for it is "bacterial SSU rRNA". It matches the Rfam family "Bacterial small subunit ribosomal RNA", at positions 35 to 523 of the family's 1533-position model. Lineage: Bacteria; Bacillati; Bacillota; Bacilli; Caryophanales; Bacillaceae. The record is from RNAcentral.
GUGCUGGGCGCUGCUAUACAUGCAAGUCGAGCGAAUGGAUUAAGAGCUUGCUCUUAUGAAGUUAGCGGCGGACGGGUGAGUAACACGUGGGUAACCUGCCCAUAAGACUGGGAUAACUCCGGGAAACCGGGGCUAAUACCGGAUAAUAUUUUGAACUGCAUGGUUCGAAAUUGAAAGGCGGGCUUCGGCUGUCACUUAUGGAUGGACCCGCGUCGCAUUAGCUAGUUGGUGAGGUAACGGCUCACCAAGGCAACGAUGCGUAGCCGACCUGAGAGGGUGAUCGGCCACACUGGGACUGAGACACGGCCCAGACUCCUACGGGAGGCAGCAGUAGGGAAUCUUCCGCAAUGGACGAAAGUCUGACGGAGCAACGCCGCGUGAGUGAUGAAGGCUUUCGGGUCGUAAAACUCUGUUGUUAGGGAAGAACAAGUGCUAGUUGAAUAAGCUGGCACCUUGACGGUACCUAACCAGAAAGCCACGGCUAACUACAUGCCAAAAACAACAGAUA